UGGUGGAGCGAUUUGUCUGGUUAAUUCCGAUAACGAACGAGACUCUAUCCUGCUAACUAGUUCACGCAUUUCACGGAGUGUGUGUCAACUUCUUAGAGGGACAAGUGGCGUUUAGCACACGAGAUUGAGCAAUAACA
This 137-nucleotide ribosomal RNA is filed under the name uncultured eukaryote. RNAcentral describes it as "partial 18S ribosomal RNA". It matches the Rfam family "Eukaryotic small subunit ribosomal RNA", at positions 1299 to 1458 of the family's 1831-position model. The record is from RNAcentral.